RNAcentral lists this ribosomal RNA (301 nucleotides) under uncultured bacterium. Its description in RNAcentral is "partial 16S ribosomal RNA". It matches the Rfam family "Bacterial small subunit ribosomal RNA", at positions 509 to 809 of the family's 1533-position model. The record is from RNAcentral.
CAGUCGCCGCGGUAAUACAGAGGGUGCAAGCGUUAAUCGGAUUUACUGGGCGUAAAGGGCGCGUAGGUGGUUAUUUAAGUGAGAUGUGAAAGCCCCGGGCUUAACCUGGGAACUGCAUCUUAUACUGGGUAACUGGAGUGCAGUAGAGGGUAGUGGAAUUUCCGGUGUAGCGGUGAAAUGCGUAGAUAUCGGAAGGAACACCAGUGGCGAAGGCGGCUACCUGGACUGAGACUGACACUGAGGCGCGAGAGCGUGGGGAGCAAACAGGAUUAGAUACCCGCGUAGUCCCUGUCUCUUAUAA